GUGGUGACCUGGGAAUCAAUGUGUGAGGUGGUGCUAUGUAGCAGGAACCCCUCUUGCUUUGCAAAUAGUUUUUUGUUUGUUUUCCUUUUUGCCCAAUAGAGCCCUGCUCUACUGACCCUUCAAUGUGCCCGUGUGCCUAAAUAUUCCUGGUCGUGUGAAAAGAACCCAGGUAUUAGCUGAACUAAGGAGCACAAUUCUGCAACAUUUUGGCACCCAAACACGGGGCUUGAGAAAUGAAUGCAAUUGGAGAAACUGGUUGUUUUACCAGGCGUUGAUUGGAAAUGUGUGCUUCCCUUUAAGCAGUCAAGCUCAACUUGCAGAACUGAUGGGAACCCCUUGGGAAAACUGGCCUCAAAUGUUUGUCUACACAGUCCACAUACAGGGUUCUUAACCUGCGAUGAGGGAAACUUCCCAGGGCUUGUCUGGGUAUGCCCACAGUGGACUGGAGCCCAAAAUGCACACUGGAGGAAGUGGAUGGAGCCACGUGGAUGUCAUGCCUUAUGCAGGGGAGGAGCCUGCUCUCUUCAGCUCCUGUGGUAAUGUGGGAAUCGAUCUGUGAGCAUAUUUAACUAUCCGGCUAUUUUGGAGAUUGAAAAAAGAAGACCUGAUUUAUCAUGUGCAAUAUCUCACACAUCUGUCAUUUCUAUUCUACCGCAAUUCGAUGGAGUCUUGUUCUGUGGUCCAGGCUAGAGGGCAGUGGCAUGAUCUCGGCUCACUACAAGCUCUGCCUCCCGGGUUCACGCCAUUCUCCUGCCUCAGCCUCCUGAGUAGCUGGGACUACAGGCGCCCGCCACCACGCCUGGCUAAUUUUUUGUAUAUUUACUAGAGAUGGCUAGUGUUAGCCAAGAUGGUCUCGAUCUCCUGACCUCGUGAUCUGCCCACCUCAGCCUGCCAAAGUGCUGGGAUUACUGGCGUGAGCCACCGUGCCUGGCCAGCAUCCUCUAAUUAUUAUUCAUAGUUUGUGAAUUUAGGCCUACGUGAAUAAUAAUAUAAUAUUUACUAUGAUGUUACUAUCUACCAACCUUAUUUUUCUUUUCUAUAAAAUAGGAGCCAAAAUAAUAUUUAUGUCAUACCUUAUGAAGUUAAAAUAAAAUAUAACGAAUGAGGGGCUU
This 1112-nucleotide long non-coding RNA is filed under the name Homo sapiens (human). RNAcentral's name for it is "non-protein coding PURPL:30". Lineage: Eukaryota; Metazoa; Chordata; Mammalia; Primates; Hominidae. The record is from RNAcentral.